UCGAACGGUAGCACAGAGAGCUUGCUCUCGGGUGACGAGUGGCGGACGGGUGAGUAAUGUCUGGGAAACUGCCUGAUGGAGGGGGAUAACUACUGGAAACGGUAGCUAAUACCGCAUAACGUCGCAAGACCAAAGAGGGGGACCUUCGGGCCUCUUGCCAUCAGAUGUGCCCAGAUGGGAUUAGCUAGUAGGUGGGGUAACGGCUCACCUAGGCGACGAUCCCUAGCUGGUCUGAGAGGAUGACCAGCCACACUGGAACUGAGACACGGUCCAGACUCCUACGGGAGGCAGCAGUGGGGAAUAUUGCACAAUGGGCGCAAGCCUGAUGCAGCCAUGCCGCGUGUAUGAAGAAGGCCUUCGGGUUGUAAAGUACUUUCAGCGGGGAGGAAGGUGUUGUGGUUAAUAACCGCAGCAAUUGACGUUACCCGCAGAAGAAGCACCGGCUAACUCCGUGCCCGCAGCCGCGGUAAUACGGAGGGUGCAAGCGUUAAUCGGAAUUACUGGGCGUAAAGCGCACGCAGGCGGUCUGUCAAGUCGGAUGUGAAAUCCCCGGGCUCAACCUGGGAACUGCAUUCGAAACUGGCAGGCUAGAGUCUUGUAGAGGGGGGUAGAAUUCCAGGUGUAGCGGUGAAAUGCGUAGAGAUCUGGAGGAAUACCGGUGGCGAAGGCGGCCCCCUGGACAAAGACUGACGCUCAGGUGCGAAAG
This 706-nucleotide ribosomal RNA is filed under the name uncultured Enterobacterales bacterium. RNAcentral describes it as "bacterial SSU rRNA". It matches the Rfam family "Bacterial small subunit ribosomal RNA", at positions 62 to 759 of the family's 1533-position model. The record is from RNAcentral. Lineage: Bacteria; Pseudomonadati; Pseudomonadota; Gammaproteobacteria; Enterobacterales.